UACCCUUGACAUGCCUGGAAGCUUUAAGAGAUUAAAGUGUGCUCGCAAGAGAACCGGUGCACAGGUGCUGCAUGGCUGUCGUCAGCUCGUGUCGUGAGAUGUUGGGUUAAGUCCCGCAACGAGCGCAACCCUUGUCAUUAGUUGCUACGUAAGAGCACUCUAGUGAGACUGCCGGUGACAAACCGGAGGAAGGUGGGGAUGACGUCAAGUCCUCAUGGCCCUUAUGGGUAGGGCUUCACACGUCAUACAAUGGUCGGGACAGAGGGUUGCCAAGCCGCGAGGUGGAGCUAAUCUCUUAAACCCGAUCGUAGUCCGGAUUGCAGGCUGCAACUCGCCUGCAUGAAGUCGGAAUCGCUAGUAAUCGCAGAUCAGAAUGCUGCGGUGAAUACGUUCCCGGGUC
This 400-nucleotide ribosomal RNA is filed under the name uncultured bacterium. RNAcentral describes it as "bacterial SSU rRNA". It matches the Rfam family "Bacterial small subunit ribosomal RNA", at positions 976 to 1380 of the family's 1533-position model. The record is from RNAcentral.